CCAUUCCUGGGGUGUUGCGUCAUGCUUUGUAUAUUGACCCACAGCUUUAAAACGGGAUUUCGAGUCUCACGAUGGGUACGUAGGCUUACGCGAAUGCAGUAGGAAACGCAAAAUCGGGAGCAGAUAACCCACCUGCCAUGUUUGGCGGGUUGCAUUACAGGGCAGACGGCACUUUGGGGCUUAC
Molecule: non-coding RNA, 184 nt
Filed under: Christensenellaceae bacterium
Lineage: Bacteria; Bacillati; Bacillota; Clostridia; Christensenellales; Christensenellaceae
Also listed under: 1 other name
Description: 6S RNA
Rfam family: 6S / SsrS RNA
About the family: E. coli 6S RNA was the first non coding RNA to be sequenced, but its function was unknown until recently. It consists of 184 nucleotides that fold into an extended hairpin structure with a large single-stranded internal bulge.
Source: RNAcentral